RNAcentral lists this ribosomal RNA (162 nucleotides) under uncultured bacterium. RNAcentral's name for it is "partial 16S ribosomal RNA". It matches the Rfam family "Bacterial small subunit ribosomal RNA", at positions 1339 to 1500 of the family's 1533-position model. The record is from RNAcentral.
UAAUGGCAGGUCAGCAUACUGCCGUGAAUACGUUCCCGGGCCGUUGUACACACCGCCCGUCACACCAUGAGAGUUGGGAAUACCCGAAGCCUGUGAGCUAACUUUUAGAGGCAGCAGUCGAAGGUAGAAUCAAUGAUUGGGGUGAAGUCGUAACAAGGUAAC